This is an unclassified non-coding RNA of Callithrix jacchus (white-tufted-ear marmoset), 292 nucleotides long. It matches the Rfam family "Metazoan signal recognition particle RNA". From Rfam's summary of the family: The signal recognition particle (SRP) is a universally conserved ribonucleoprotein. Lineage: Eukaryota; Metazoa; Chordata; Mammalia; Primates; Cebidae. The record is from Ensembl.
GCCGGGCACAGUGGCACAUGCCUGUAGUUACAGCUACUCGGGAGGCUGAGGCUGGAGGAUCGCAGGAGUUCUGGGCUAUAGUGCGCUAUGCUGGUUGGGUGUCUGCACAAAUUUCGGCAUGAAUAUGGUGACCUCCUGGAAGCAAGGGACCACCAGGUUGCCUAAGGAGGGGUGAACCAGCCCAGGUCAGAAAUGGAGCAGGUCAAAACUCCCGUGCUGAUCAGUAGUGGGAUCGUACCUGUGAAUAGCCACUGUACUCCAGCCUGGGCAACAUAGUGAGACCCCUUCUCUU